This 28-nucleotide non-coding RNA is filed under the name Homo sapiens (human). Lineage: Eukaryota; Metazoa; Chordata; Mammalia; Primates; Hominidae. The record is from RNAcentral.
UUCUAGGGCAAACAGCCACCAAGAGGCA